AAGGACAGUCAGUUCUAGAGUGUUGGUCAGAACUGAAGGACAAGUAUCUGAUGAUAUACGGGACCAAUGUCAUUGUGUGGGUGCCAGCACAAACUAUCAACUUCCUGUAUGUGCACGCCAAACUUCGAGUGAUUUACAUUACAACUGUGCUUGUAUUGUUUGAUGCGCUUUCGUCCUAUAUAAAACAUAAGGAGAGUGCUUCAGAUGUUGAAUUGAAUAUGCAAGCUGCCGACUUUAACUGUCAGCACUAUAUAGAGAAAUCUGCAUAACUAUCCUAUGUAAAAGUUAAAAUCUGUUUUUGUGUCUUCACCAUUAGCUUUAACUUCUACUUCUGCGUCUUAUGAGCAAAUUUAAUUUGAAUAAAAAUAAAAAUUAUUGCAUGUAUACAAAAUAAACUGUAGAAUUACUAAAAGUUAUAAGCUUCGAAAUUCAGCGACACAUUUUACUUUUAGCGAUAGACACGGAUGUGGUUUGAAAUAAACUAUUAACAAUGUCGUUUUGUAAUAAAGCGCCGAAUUGCUAGACCGCCUAUUUCAGAGCCUGUCACAUGAUGUUCAGUUGCCAGAGAAUCGCAUGUAGGCCUUACA
Gigantopelta aegis is the source of this 587-nucleotide long non-coding RNA. RefSeq lists it as uncharacterized. The transcript is spliced from 3 exons. The record is from RefSeq and is a predicted model, not a curated record. NCBI's taxonomy places the organism in Eukaryota, Metazoa, Mollusca, Gastropoda, Neomphalida, Peltospiridae.